CCUACGGGAGGUAGCAGUGGGGAAUAUUGGACAAUGGGGGCAACCCUGAUCCAGCCAUGCCGCGUGUGUGAAGAAGGCCCUCGGGUUGUAAAGCACUUUCAGUGAGGAAGAACGCCUGGUGGUUAAUACCCAUCAGGAAAGACAUCACUCACAGAAGAAGCACCGGCUAACUCCGUGCCAGCAGCCGCGGUAAUACGGAGGGUGCGAGCGUUAAUCGGAAUUACUGGGCGUAAAGCGCGCGUAGGUGGCUUGAUAAGCCGGUUGUGAAAGCCCCGGGCUCAACCUGGGAACGGCAUCCGGAACUGUCAAGCUAGAGUGCAGGAGAGGAAGGUAGAAUUCCCGGUGUAGCGGUGAAAUGCGUAGAGAUCGGGAGGAAUACCAGUGGCGAAGGCGGCCUUCUGGACUGACACUGACACUGAGGUGCGAAAGCGUGGGUAGCAAACAGGAUUAGAUACCCCGGUAGUC
RNAcentral lists this ribosomal RNA (465 nucleotides) under Vreelandella stevensii. RNAcentral describes it as "partial 16S ribosomal RNA". It matches the Rfam family "Bacterial small subunit ribosomal RNA", at positions 338 to 795 of the family's 1533-position model. Lineage: Bacteria; Pseudomonadati; Pseudomonadota; Gammaproteobacteria; Oceanospirillales; Halomonadaceae. The record is from RNAcentral.